ACCUGCUAGCAGUUAUAUCAGCAAAAUCAAUGGUUGCUGGCUAGAAAUGAGAAACCUGCUUUUAUAAGGAGUGCUCUGACUACUUUAGCCUACAGUUGUGACCACGCAAUGAUGAUAACGCUGCUCUUAUUCGUAACCUGCAACAUCUUGACUCAGAUCUACAGGGGAAGGUGUGAUUGUGUGAGUCUGUAGCUAGUAAUAAAACAGCCAGCAGGAUGUGUGGCACAUUUGAAGAGACUGCUCAAUACUGUUGACUCACUAACUCAUUUCUCUCUCUCCCACUCAAAGUAGGAGACAGGGUGUGUAGAGCUGAAGCACAUUUUGGCGCAGCUGCGAGAUCCAGAGGCAGCCGAACAGCUCAGUACCAGAAUACUAUCAGAGGAAAGAACAAAAAGCUCAAGUACCGCUGCCACCAUGUCCAGCAGCUCUGCCUCUCCACUCGCUCAUCCCACAGAGGGCUUUCAGGGCUCCCAUAAAUCAUUUCUCCCUCACAGACUACUUCUGAGUUCAGUUUGAUGAUAAGACUGGAAGGAAAGGCGCUAUGCAAUGUGGGCGUCCAGGAAGACACAGAAUUGCAUUAUCUGCCGCAGUGUGCUCAGACCAGAAACAUGGCAGCUGAACAUGGUGGAGUACAAGAUUAAGCAGUACGAGAAAAAGAGUGAAAGGUUGACCAAUGAGCUGCAGAACAUGAAGAAGAAAAAUCAGCAGAAUAAGUGAAAUUGCUCAACUAGAUGUUUCAUUGGAACCAACCCAACCAAUUGCACCAAGACAGCAAAGCUGGUCAGCCAAAGAAGUGGGAGGGUGCAUGAGAAGAACAACUCAGUCAGUCCUCACGUCUCCUCUCUCCUCAGGCGAUUAAUGGACUUUGAAUGGCUUUGAGCAUAACUCAUGUGCAAAAGAUGAGGACUUGCCUGUUCCCCACUAUGUGAAUGAAAAUUGUUCUUAUUCUUUUAUUUACACCUGUUGCUUAUAUCUUAAGAUUUAGGAACACACUGAAAAAAGGACAUCUUUUAUACAGUUAAAGCUACAAUCAUUAGAAUCGGUAAGGGCUGAUUUAGUUGAGGACUUAGCGGACUGAACUGUCAAAAAAUGUAGAAUGUAAAUGCAAUUUAAUGUUGAAUCUGUGGCAAGCCCAACUUGCUAUAAAUUACAACACAUCCAGCAUUAA
Molecule: long non-coding RNA, 1168 nt
Organism: Thunnus maccoyii (southern bluefin tuna)
Lineage: Eukaryota; Metazoa; Chordata; Actinopteri; Scombriformes; Scombridae
Exons: 5
Source: RefSeq, a predicted model, not a curated record